Molecule: small nuclear RNA, 316 nt
Filed under: Anolis carolinensis (green anole)
Lineage: Eukaryota; Metazoa; Chordata; Lepidosauria; Squamata; Anolidae
Description: 7SK RNA
Rfam family: 7SK RNA
About the family: 7SK was discovered as an abundant small nuclear RNA in the mid-70s but a possible function has only recently been suggested. Two independent studies have found that 7SK RNA binds the CDK9/cyclin T complex (known as elongation factor P-TEFb).
Source: Rfam by way of RNAcentral
UUAUGUGAGGGUGAUCUGGCUGCAACAUCUGUUACCCCAUUUAUUGCAAGAGUUGAUUCGGCUGAUCUGGCUGGCUAGGUGAGUGUCCCCUUCUUCCCACACCACUCAGUGUGCAUCCCUCCCGAAGCUGCAUGCUCAGUGGAAGAGGACGACGUCCCAGGUAUAGAAGGAGUAUACCGAGGUCUCCAGUCUUCGAUCCCAGGUAUACGACAGCUGCGCUCCCCUGCUAGAACCUCCAAACAAGCUCAAGGUCAAUUUGUAAAAUGAGGCACCUGCCUCAACCAUCGUGUUUUUGGAAUCAUGUAAAGUGACAAAU